AGAAGGAAAUGGCAACCCAUUCCAGUAUUCUUGUCUGAAGAAUCCCAUGGACAGGAGCCUGGUGAAUACCUAGAAGUGCUGAGUGUAACUCCAUAUCUAACUGCAUGGGAAAGUUUUAACAAGCACAUCCCUUUGCACUCCUGCCAGCUAAGCAUGAGAGUUCCAGUUGCUCCACAUCCUC
Long non-coding RNA from Bubalus bubalis (water buffalo), 181 nucleotides. RefSeq lists it as uncharacterized. Lineage: Eukaryota; Metazoa; Chordata; Mammalia; Artiodactyla; Bovidae. The transcript is spliced from 2 exons. The record is from RefSeq and is a predicted model, not a curated record.